AAGCUUUCACAUGAGGAGUUAUUUUUGGAUUGACUUGAAGCAGCUCAAUGAUAUAUAUCGCUAUAAAACAGAGGAAUACUCUCACACUGCAGUUAACAAGUUUAAUGUAAUACCUGAUUCUCUUCCAGAAUGGAUUUUUGAUUUUAUGCCAACUCAUGGUGGUUACUUUAUAGGGAACGUUAGUCCUGCAAGAAUGGAUUUCCGCUGGUUUUGCCUAGGUAAUUGUGUUGCAAUUCUUUCAUCUUUGGCAACCCCUGAACAAUCCAUGGCAAUCAUGGAUCUUAUAGAAUCACGGUGGGAGGAGUUGGUAGGAGAAAUGCCUCUCAAGGUAUGCUAUCCGGCCAUAGAGAGCCAUGAAUGGCGGAUUAUAACUGGAUGUGACCCCAAAAACACCAGAUGGAGUUACCACAAUGGAGGAUCCUGGCCAGUGCUUCUGUGGCUUCUCACAGCUGCUUGUAUCAAGACUGGACGGCCGCAAAUUGCAAGGCGAGCCCCAUUGAGCUUGCAGAAAAUAGGCUGUUGAAAGACAAUUGGCCUGAAUAUUAUGAUGGGAAGCUCGGACGAUACAUUGGAAAGCAGGCCAGGAAGUUCCAAACCUGGUCUGUUGCAGGUUACUUGGUGGCAAAAAUGAUGCUGGAAGAUCCCUCCCAUUUGGGUAUGGUGUCACUUGAGGAGGACAAACAAAUGAAGCCCCUCCUUAAAAGAUCAAAUUCAUGGACAUUCUGAUGUUAUUUGUUUAGAACUUCUACAUGCAUCUACCUAUUUUUAGUUUAAAUUUUAGAUUCACAUGCCAAACUCUUUUUAAGUGUUGGUACUUCGUAGCUGA
This 826-nucleotide unclassified non-coding RNA is filed under the name Hevea brasiliensis (rubber tree). Lineage: Eukaryota; Viridiplantae; Streptophyta; Magnoliopsida; Malpighiales; Euphorbiaceae. The record is from RNAcentral.